CCACAGACCUGUGGGCAGGAAUUGGUGCCAAUAAGACCUUUGGGCAGCCCCAGUUGGCACGUGGAUCCCAAAGCAAAAUUCAACUUCUCUCUCCCAUUCAAAGAGCAGAAGAGGACGCUCACAACAGAUUAUCUAACACCUUGAACUUGAACUUGGAGAUUGGCUUCCCUCAGCAGGGGUGAACGGAGACAUGAAGGAAGACAGCAGAGCCGCACUGGCUGCAGUUUCUAAAUUGCCAUUUGGGAUAAAGCAGCAAAGGAGAGAAUUGCUCCAAUGCAGUGGUUUGGGAAGAUCCUUGAAACUGCACCAUUGGAUACUCCCCAAAGUGGCUUGAGAAGCCCUGAGGAUUUUUCAGUAAUAGAGACCAGAAGAGGAGGUGGCUGCUGAUUAAUUCCAUGUCAGCCGGGGCUUUCUGUGCUCUGCAUCUAGAAUAGGGCAGUUUCCAAGGUGACUGAAAUGAGCUUGUGAGGAUAAGGUGAGGGCCUGGAGUUACGAGCUGCCAAACUCGUAAACCACGCGGGCUUCCUCUGAGCCACUUGCCAAGCGAUUUAACAACUGACUUGGCGGCAAAGCGUUCCAACCCUAUUUAAUGAUCAGUGCACCUAUAAAUAAGGUUGUAAGGACACUUUGGAUGGAUGUUAAUGUACGGGUUCAGUCCAGAGUGACUAAACCUUGAGUUGUUUUGACCUCGGAGAGCCAUCAGAAAUCUGCUGCGAGGAACAAUCCUGCAGUUGUCCGUGGUGAUGUUUUGUUCCUGUUCAUCAUGUCCUCGGGUGUGUAAUUUACUCACAUGAUAAUAAUGUGAUGCUUGGCACUUGCAGUUUACAGAGUGCCUUCACACACACGUUUUCAUUCGAUCCUGGCAAGACAGGCAUUAUUACUGAGGUUUAGGGGAGACAAGUAACUUGCCCCAGGACGUCCAGAUAGUGGGGGUUGGAGGUAAGUAGGGUAGGGGAAUGGAUUGGCAGUGGUGGUAGCAGAGUCCACAUUUCAGAUAAGGACUAUGUUGCUUCCAAAUUGAUCUUCCUUUCUGAUUCCACCAAAUCCUAUUUCUGGUUUAAAAGACUUGAAACAAUCAGUGACUCCCCUGUCCUCCAAGGGGCCAGCAUAUCACGGUCCAGCUCCCUAGUCUCUCCUUUGAUUGCUUUGUACUCAAAGUAGGCUUGCCAGAUUGAGCAAAUAAAAAUGUAAAACACCUCCUUAAAUUUAAAUUUCACUCCUUUCGCUUCCAAAAAUUUCAGAUAAACUCUUUCAGUAUAAGGAAUUCCCAUGGUAUUUGUCAACUGUAACUUAAAAUACUUAUCAUUAAAACUUUUUUCCUUUAAAAAAUUAAUAUGAAUUACUUACAGAAAAUUUUGAAAAGUCGGUUAAGCAAAAGGAAAGAAAUAGAAAUUACUCCUAAUUUUACCAUCAGAUAAUAUAUAAUGCUUUAAUAGUAACUGUUAACAUUUUGGUAUAUUUACUGUGGGCUCUUUUCCCAUGAAUAUCUUUGUAUGCAUAAAUUUCUUUUUUAAAAAUAAAAAAGGGGCUUACUGACAUUACUACUUUAGACUUGCUUUUUUUUCGCUCAAUAAUAUGUCAUGAACAUCUUUCUGUGCC
Molecule: non-coding RNA, 1599 nt
Organism: Vicugna pacos (alpaca)
Lineage: Eukaryota; Metazoa; Chordata; Mammalia; Artiodactyla; Camelidae
Source: RefSeq, a predicted model, not a curated record